RNAcentral lists this ribosomal RNA (116 nucleotides) under Acidobacteriota bacterium. The record is from RNAcentral. Lineage: Bacteria; Pseudomonadati; Acidobacteriota.
UCUGGUGGCCAUACCGGAGAGGAAACGCCCGAUCCCAUUUCGAACUCGGAAGCUAAGCUCUCUAGGGCCGAUGGUACUGCGGGUCCAGCCCGUGGGAGAGUAGGUUGCUGCCGGGA